UAAAAUAAACGAACUUGUAGCAAGUUAACAAAAUGGCGCUUACGUGUGCGAGUAAGUAAACAAGUUUUUUGCUUUAUUUUGCAUAUUAGUAUGUUAUUUUUUGCGAUUAUUAGAAUUAACUAAUGCAUUGUAAUGAGAAAGUAUAGUUUAUAAUUUGAAAUUUGAAACAAAAAUGUGUACAAUAACAAAAGUCUCACAUUGGGCGAUAAAAGGAUACCGGGUGUAUCGCAUUCUCUACGUUUGGGUCUCGAUAACCACCUGAUGCUUAUUUUUCAGUAAGUAACGAAGUUCCCGAACAUCCUGUUAUUUCACCUGUUUCGGGAUGCAUUUUUGAAAGGCGAUUGGUAGAAAAGUAUAUAGCUGAAAAUGGAGUGGACCCAAUGAACCAUGAAAAGUUAAACGAAGAUCAGCUAAUACCUGUAAAAACUUCUACAUUGGUCAAGCCAAGACCACCAUCAGCUACGAGCAUUCCGGCUAUUUUGAAAUCGCUACAGGACGAAUGGGUUAGUUUGAUUUGUAUAUUGUUACAAUAAACAGAGGUAAUGUAAGAAAUUAUUUUCUAUCGCAGGAUGCGGUUAUGUUGCACAGUUUCACAUUGAGGCAACAACUUCAAACGGCUAGACAGGAAUUAUCUCAUGCUUUAUAUCAACACGACGCGGCUUGUAGAGUUAUCGCUAGGCUUACGAAGGAAGUUACUGCCGCCAGAGAGGCUCUGGCUACGCUUAAACCUCAAACUGGAGUUACACCCGCACAAACUCAGCCGACAGCAACAACAACUGUUGUUGCAGCUGCGGACCAAAGUGUCGAGGCUCAAACGUCAACAGGCAUGACCGAGGAAAUUUUAACAAAAUUGCAAGAUACCGCCGCAAAAUUGACCUCAGAAAGAAAGAAACGUGGCAAGACCAUACCAGAGGGAUUAGCGUCUACUGAACAAAUUCAAUCCUACAGAAAAAUUGCUUCGAAAACCUCAAAUCACAGUCCCAGCGUUCCAGGUAUAUUGUCUUUGGAUAUUUGCCCUAAGGAUACGAAUAAGAUAAUAACCGGAGGAAACGAUAAGACCGCUGUUGUAUAUAAUAAAGAAACAGAUUGUUUAGUUGCCACUUUGAAGGGUCAUUCAAAGAAGGUCACCCAUGUUGUCUAUCAUCCGGAAGAAGAACUAGCCUUUACUGCUAGUCCAGAUCAGACAAUCCGCGUCUGGGGAGUUAAAGAGUCAAAGUGUGCUCACGUGAUCAGAGCCCACGAAAUGCCAGUUACGGGAAUUUCUUUGCAUGCAACGGGAGAUUAUCUGCUAUCGUGUUCGCUGGAUGGUUAUUGGGCCUUCUCAGAUAUAAGAAACGGGCGGGUUCUUACAAGAGUUGGCGAUAAAAAUUCCUCUGUACCUUUAACGUGCGCACAAUUCCAUCCGGACGGUCUUAUUUUCGGAACGGGGACUGAGGAUUCGACAAUAAAGAUUUGGGAUUUGAAAGAACAGGCUAAUGUGGCUAAUUUCCCUGGAGAUGCGGGGCCUAUAACGUCCAUUUCAUUUUCGGAGAACGGUUAUUACUUAGCGACGGCUGCUGAUGAUUCGACAGUAAAGUUGUGGGAUUUACGUAAAUUGAAAAAUUUCAAGAAUAUUCAAUUAGAUGAGGGUUAUGAGGUGAAAUCUUUAUGCUUUGAUCAUUCUGGAUCUUAUUUGGGCGUAGCGGGAACGGAUGUUCGAGUUUACGUUUGCAAACAGUGGUCGAUGGUAAAGAGCUUUUACGAUCAUACAGCUACGGCUACGGGAAUAAGAUUUGGUGAAAACAGUAACUUUAUUGCGUCAACUGGAAUGGAUCGAGCCUUGAUGUUUUACGCAGAAGGAUGA
Molecule: unclassified non-coding RNA, 1843 nt
Filed under: Dimorphilus gyrociliatus
Lineage: Eukaryota; Metazoa; Annelida; Polychaeta; Dinophilidae
Description: pre-mRNA-processing factor 19
Source: RNAcentral